RNAcentral lists this unclassified non-coding RNA (413 nucleotides) under soil metagenome. Its description in RNAcentral is "partial contains 5.8S ribosomal RNA, internal transcribed spacer 2, and large subunit ribosomal RNA". The stretch from base 1 to 120 matches the Rfam family "5.8S ribosomal RNA", at positions 35 to 154 of the family's 154-position model. The record is from RNAcentral.
GAUGAAGAACGUAGCGAAAUGCGAUAAGUAAUGUGAAUUGCAGAAUUCAGUGAAUCAUCGAAUCUUUGAACGCACCUUGCGCUCUUUGGUAUUCCGAAGAGCAUGCCUGUUUGAGUGUCAUGAAAAUAUCAACCUUGACUUGGGUUUUGUGCUCUAGUCUCGGCUUGGAAUUGGGUGCUUGCCGCUUUUACGAGCGGCUCACCUUAAAUGUAUUAGCUGGAUCUGUCUUUGAGACUUGGUUUGACUUGGCGUAAUAAGUAUUUCGCUAAGGACAUACUUCGGAGUGGCCUCGUUUCUAGGACGCUUGUCCGCUUUCCAAUACAAGUUCCACCUCGUGGACAUGACUUUUUAUUAUCUGGCCUCAAAUCAGGUAGGACUACCCGCUGAACUUAAGCAUAUCAAUAAGCGGAGGA